CGACGGGCUGGGUUCGGUGGUCGGCCCGCCGCUGGGCUCGGUGCCGGGGCUCGGCUCGGUGCCGGGGCUCGGCUCGCCGCUCGGCGC
Molecule: transfer RNA, 87 nt
Filed under: Catellatospora sp. TT07R-123
Lineage: Bacteria; Bacillati; Actinomycetota; Actinomycetes; Micromonosporales; Micromonosporaceae
Description: tRNA-Pro
Source: RNAcentral